This 409-nucleotide ribosomal RNA is filed under the name bacterium. RNAcentral's name for it is "partial 16S ribosomal RNA". It matches the Rfam family "Bacterial small subunit ribosomal RNA", at positions 355 to 776 of the family's 1533-position model. RNAcentral also lists the same sequence under 1 other name. The record is from RNAcentral.
UGGGGAAUAUUGCACAAUGGGCGAAAGCCUGAUGCAGCGACGCCGCGUGAGGGAUGACGGCCUUCGGGUUGUAAACCUCUUUCAGCAGGGACGAAGCGCAAGUGACGGUACCUGCAGAAGAAGCACCGGCUAACUACGUGCCAGCAGCCGCGGUAAUACGUAGGGUGCAAGCGUUGUCCGGAAUUACUGGGCGUAAAGAGUUCGUAGGCGGUUUGUCGCGUCGUUUGUGAAAACCAGCAGCUCAACUGCUGGCUUGCAGGCGAUACGGGCAGACUUGAGUACUGCAGGGGAGACUGGAAUUCCUGGUGUAGCGGUGAAAUGCGCAGAUAUCAGGAGGAACACCGGUGGCGAAGGCGGGUCUCUGGGCAGUAACUGACGCUGAGGAGCGAAAGCGUGGGUAGCGAACAGG